Molecule: ribosomal RNA, 274 nt
Filed under: uncultured bacterium
Lineage: Bacteria
Description: partial 16S ribosomal RNA
Rfam family: Bacterial small subunit ribosomal RNA
Source: RNAcentral
AUACGGGGGGUGCAAGCGUUGUCCGGAAUCAUUGGGCGUAAAGGGUUCGUAGGUGGAAUUAUAAGUCUGGUGUGAAAGCCCACAGCUCAACUGUGGAACUGCACUGGAUACUGUUUUUCUCGAGUUAUAGAGGGGUUUGUGGAAUUUCUGGUGUAGAGGUGAAAUUUGUAGAGAUCAGAAAGAACACCGGUGGCGAAGGCGACAAACUGGCUAUUAACUGACACUGAGGAACGAAAGCGUGGGGAGCGAACAGGAUUAGAUACCCUAGUAGUCC